RNAcentral lists this ribosomal RNA (503 nucleotides) under uncultured bacterium. RNAcentral describes it as "partial 16S ribosomal RNA". It matches the Rfam family "Bacterial small subunit ribosomal RNA", at positions 28 to 523 of the family's 1533-position model. The record is from RNAcentral.
GAUGAACGCUGGCGGCGUGCCUAAUACAUGCAAGUCGAACGAAGAUCUAGCUUGCUAGAUCUUAGUGGCGAACGGGUGAGUAAUACAUAAAUAAUCUGCCCAUAUGACUGGGAUAACUAUUGGAAACGAUAGCUAAUACCGGAUAGGUUGAUUGGAGGCAUCUCUGAUUAAUUAAAGUAGGACUUCUACACAAAUGGAUGAGUUUAUGGCGCAUUAGUUAGUUGGUGGGGUAACGGCCUACCAAGACGAUGAUGCGUAGCCGACCUGAGAGGGUGACCGGCCACACUGGGACUGAGACACGGCCCAGACUCCUACGGGAGGCAGCAGUAGGGAAUUUUCGGCAAUGGGCGCAAGCCUGACCGAGCAACGCCGCGUGAGUGAUUAAGGCCUUCGGGUUGUAAAGCUCUGUUGUAAGGGAAGAACAUUCAGGAUAGGAAAUGAUCUUGAACUGACGGUACCUUACCAGAAAGCCACGGCUAACUACGUGCCAGCAGCCGCCGUAA